AUUGUAAGUCGCUUUAGGGAAAAGUGUUCGCUAAAAGAAUAAAUGUAAAUUUGUGUCGCUCCGGUUCUCUACGCUGGGCUGAUGUCUCACUUGAAGGGUGCAGCCUCCCUUCUUGUCCGGAGCAGAAAUGUACUGUUCCAGUACUCUACCCCUCCUGGCCCCCCAUGCCCUGGACAAACCUCCCGACACUGCACACAGAGUCCUUCGGCACGCCCCCUAACCCCACCUGUCCAAUCAGAAAUGUGCAAUCUGUCAUGCCCCGCCCCUUUCUCUGCCAGCCAAUGGGAAACAGCUGAAGGACACGCCUUACAGCCGAACUCAUCCCUGCUCUGUGGGUGUGGGUGUGUGGGGGUGUGGGUGUGAGGCAGCACACAAAAGUAUGUGUUUGCAUGAGGAUGCAUAUUUAGAAAGUUUGCCAGGGCAGGUGACACAGGAAUUCAAGGAUAGCUGUACUGGGAUUUGUCUUUGUUCUGACACUGGUAACGAGGCAUCUCCCAUUUGGAGGGGUUGGGGAGGAAGGCAAAGCUCUUCCAAAUGCUGCUCGUGGGACUCGAGCGCACACGUGUUAGUUAUCGCCGGCCCCCUGGUUGCGCCGAUCCAGAGGCGAAUGCGCCCCGCUGGUGAAGGUCCCCUCGGCUACAGCCCAGACGGCUCCGUUCGGCGUGCUCCUGUAGCCCAGCGCAGCGAGCGUGAAGACGAGGGCCGCCGUCUGGCAGGCCUUAAGUCGGACGCUUCCUUUCCGUUUUUCCCCGAUAUUUUUGUCCGGUUGAAAUCUGAAGGCGAGAACCCGUAUGAAUGGAGACUCGGAAUGCGGGUAUCCGUGACCAUCGCCGUGAAAGUUAUGCGGUGCUGGCAAAUGCCGCGUGAUAUUGCAGUUCCGUACGCGCUCCGGGUGAUUCCUGUUGGCUGGCGGCCUCCCGGGCCGAGACGUUUCGCCCGGUCGGCUUCAGGUGAGCGGCGGACCGCACCUGGAGACCGAGAGGCUUGUUCUGGACAAACGGGUUUUCCGGAAGAUUCUACCAAUCAUGUUCUUCUGCGUAGCGAGAAGUAAACAAACCCGAUUGCUAGAGAUUGUGUUCAUGUGGAAAUGGGGGGGGGGGCAAGAUGAGAAGGGAGCGCGGCGCGUGUUUAGUUUCUAGUUCCCGAAUCGCUACUCGGCUCUCGAACAACCUUUGCUCCGAGUUUCAGGGAGAGAAACGUGACGAUAAGCAAUGAGAUCCACCUUAGUCAGUCAGCGUAAUUGGGGUGAGGCUCAAUUUGAAUGACUCGCACCAGUGGAAUGCUUUUAAUCCUCGCGAAUAGCUAUCUAUGUCUGACGCGCGCCGAGGACGAAACGUCCGUGAAACGGCACUGGGGAGUUGUCGCAUACCACAGAAAUGCUGCGUCCCAGUAAAUUUUCCAUGCAAGGAUGCCUACAGCAAGAGUAACCGCAGUCUCCACCCCCCCACCCCCCCAUGUGGAAUGGACAAAUGCAAAAGUACAGAUUUCCUCGUCUUCCUCCCAUACUGCACAGCUCAUACACAGUACCUGGUUGUGGAAAAAAUGAAUGUGUGGAUGAAUAAGCCCAGCAGUGCAGAGAUUUCCCUCCAGUUUACGUCUCUGCAUUUUUUAACUUUUAUCAAUAAUACACACAACCAAAGCAACCAUUAAAAUCCACAAUCGCAGGUGCUUUCCUAAAGCAACGCAGAGCUCGGAGUAAACGGAGGUGCUUCGGCAACAGGCGUACAUACCGUGGGUUUACGUACGUCCGCCCGCGGUUGCCGAAGCUUGUUUAACGAAGGCCACUAUUGUCGUAGCGGGGAGUGAAGGAUUGACUUAUGGAGGUGUCCGGUGCUUGGAAGGGAAGCGGGUCUGGAAGAGGCGACUUUUGACACCCUUCCUAAAUGCUGGGAGGGAAUGUGCAUUUCUGAGGGAUAGGGGGAGUUAAUUCAACCAAGACUGAGAAAUGGUUGGGUGCAUUGUUGUUAACUUUUAUGUCGCUGAUAAUCUUUGUCCACAGCUACUUUCAGAAUGGGCUGUUUUAGGAAAUUGAAGCUUUUGAGAGCAUAUGGGCGCGAUCGCACGAGAGAAGCGUGUUACUGUGGUUAUCCCAAGAUCGACCGUCUAGGUCGAGCUAAACGUUCAGAAGAUCAAUCGCUCAAACUGCAUUUAAAAAAAAAAAAAAAACAAAA
Scleropages formosus (Asian bonytongue) is the source of this 2171-nucleotide long non-coding RNA. RefSeq lists it as uncharacterized. Lineage: Eukaryota; Metazoa; Chordata; Actinopteri; Osteoglossiformes; Osteoglossidae. The transcript has 2 exons. The record is from RefSeq and is a predicted model, not a curated record.